This 406-nucleotide ribosomal RNA is filed under the name uncultured bacterium. Its description in RNAcentral is "partial 16S ribosomal RNA". It matches the Rfam family "Bacterial small subunit ribosomal RNA", at positions 28 to 526 of the family's 1533-position model. The record is from RNAcentral.
GAUGAACGCUAGCUACAGGCUUAACACAUGCAAGUCGAGGGACCGGCGCACGGGUGAGUAACACGUAUCCACCCUGCCCUUUACUCGGGGAUAGCCUUUCGAAGGAAAGAUUAAUACCCGAUAUAACGUAUGGGGAUUCGUUCCAUUAGGUUGUUGGUGAGGUAACGGCCCACCAAGCCUUCGAUGGAUAGUGGUUCUGAGAGGAAGGUCCCCAACCAUGGAACUGAGACACGGGCCAAACUCCUAAGGGCUGCAGCAGUGAGGAAUAUUGGUCAAUGGGCGCUAGCCUGAACCAGCCAAGUAGCGUGAAGGAUGAAGGCUUAUGGGUCGUAAACUUCUUUUAUAUAAGAAUAUGUAUUAUAUGAAUAAGGAUCGGCUAACUCCGUGCCAGCAGCCGCGGUAAUUC